AACGCACCUUGCGCCUCUUGGUAUUCCGAGGGGCAUGCCUGUUUGAGUGUCUUAUAAAAUCAAUCCCCACGGGUUUCUGACCUGACGGUGGACUUGGAGUUGGGCGUCUGCCGGUCACACGGCUCGCCUCAAAGACCUUAGUGGGGACAUCGGCCCACGGCUUGACGUAAUAAGUUUCGUCUUGUCCGGCCCCUGUCGUCCGCUCACAACCCGCCCUCGGGCAACUACUUUAUGCUAGACCUCAAAUCAGGUAGGACUACCCGCUGAACUUAA
RNAcentral lists this unclassified non-coding RNA (273 nucleotides) under uncultured fungus. RNAcentral's name for it is "partial contains 5.8S ribosomal RNA, internal transcribed spacer 2, and large subunit ribosomal RNA". The stretch from base 1 to 52 matches the Rfam family "5.8S ribosomal RNA", at positions 103 to 154 of the family's 154-position model. The record is from RNAcentral. Lineage: Eukaryota; Fungi.